This 166-nucleotide ribosomal RNA is filed under the name uncultured bacterium. Its description in RNAcentral is "partial 16S ribosomal RNA". It matches the Rfam family "Bacterial small subunit ribosomal RNA", at positions 349 to 507 of the family's 1533-position model. The record is from RNAcentral.
CAGCAGUAGGGAAUAUUGGUCAAUGGGCGAAAGCCUGAUCCAGCGACGCCGCGUGAGCGAUGAAGGCCUUCGGGUCGUAAAGCUCUGUCAUGGGGGAUGAACGUCCGGGUGGUAAGAUGCCUGCUGAGUGACGGUACCCCAGGAGGAAGCCCCGGCUAACUACGUG